RNAcentral lists this non-coding RNA (49 nucleotides) under Trichobilharzia regenti. Lineage: Eukaryota; Metazoa; Platyhelminthes; Trematoda; Strigeidida; Schistosomatidae. The record is from RNAcentral.
AUCCAGAUGAUGAGUCCCGAACAGGACGAAAUGCACAUUCUUGCUGGAU